GAAAUGCGAUACGUAGUGUGAAUUGCAGAAUUCCGUGAAUCAUCGAAUCUUUGAACGCAUAUUGCGCCCACGGCCUCGGCUAAGGGCAUGCCUGUCUCAGCGUCCGCUCACCCCCUCGCCCACCCUUUCUUUGUUGAAAGCGGUUUGGACGGAUGUGGCCGUCUCGCUCUCCUUUUAAUCGAGGAAGAGCGGGUCGGCUGAAGCGCAGGGCUCGCGGCGGGACCCCAUUCGAUCGGGGCGCCAGCAUGGUAGGUGGCUCACGCUCACAUACUAGCUGUCGUCUCCCAUAUCACCGGGCGCUCCGCCUGCUGCCACAGCAGGAAAAACCAAUCAAACCUUGGACCUGAGAUCAGACA
Molecule: ribosomal RNA, 356 nt
Filed under: uncultured alga
Lineage: Eukaryota
Description: eukaryotic LSU rRNA
Rfam family: 5.8S ribosomal RNA (bases 1-105)
Source: RNAcentral